GCACCGCUCCCUCUACUCGGAUCGUCCGGCACGUUCCUGCCGGUGAAGGGACCCACCA
Streptomyces mobaraensis is the source of this 58-nucleotide non-coding RNA. The record is from Rfam. Lineage: Bacteria; Bacillati; Actinomycetota; Actinomycetes; Kitasatosporales; Streptomycetaceae.